This 492-nucleotide long non-coding RNA is filed under the name Homo sapiens (human). Its description in RNAcentral is "long non-coding RNA NONHSAT197637". Lineage: Eukaryota; Metazoa; Chordata; Mammalia; Primates; Hominidae. The record is from RNAcentral.
CUCACAGCAAUUGAAACAUUCAUUUACUUACUAGAAGUGCCGUACGUCAUUAACUCCUGAUUAAAACAAAGUUGGCAAAUUGCAAGUGCUGAAUUGAUCACUAAGAUAUUUAUCUCAUGGUGUUUAAUAAAACUAUUUGUGCCAUGUAUGAUGCCUCAGCUGCAAGGAUGAAACUUUAGUAUAAAUGUGUCAAAGCGAAGGAAUCUAAACAAUACUGGCAACAUGGCAUCUCAACUGUGUGCUCAAGCGCACAUCUGUGGCUCUAGGCAGGCAACUUAAAUGCUCUAUAACAUUACCAUUUGUAUCUAACCCAGUAACUCUUUCAUUUAAAACAAACAAAAGUUUCCAUACUUACAAGAAAACAAUGAGUUCUUAGUCUUACUUGUGUAAUUUAUGUUUUUAUCGACUUGUUUGAAUCUUCAUCUUAACUGUGAAUUCUCAGAUAACUUUCAGUUUCUUUAUCAGUAAAUUGAGAAGGUAACUGUGCUUAUU